RNAcentral lists this ribosomal RNA (209 nucleotides) under uncultured bacterium. RNAcentral's name for it is "partial 16S ribosomal RNA". It matches the Rfam family "Bacterial small subunit ribosomal RNA", at positions 568 to 774 of the family's 1533-position model. The record is from RNAcentral.
CGCGUAGGCGGGUCAGCAAGUCCGGGGUGAAAUCUUUCGGCUCAACCGGAAAAGUGCCUCGGAUACUGCUGGUCUUGAGGGAGGUAGGGGUUUGUGGAACUUCUGGUGGAGCGGUGAAAUGCGUUGAUAUCAGAAGGAACGCCGGUGGCGAAAGCGACGAACUGGACCUCUUCUGACGCUGAGGCGCGAAAGCUAGGGGAAGGCAAACG